GAUGAAGAACGUAGCGAAAUGAGAUAAGUAGUGUGAAUUGCAGAAUUCAGUGAAUCAUCGAAUCUUUGAACGCACAUUGCGCCCCUUGGUAUUCCAUGGGGCAUGCCUGUUCGAGCGUCAUUUGUACCUUCAAGCUCUGCUUGGUGUUGGGUGUUUGUCUCGCCUCUGCGUGUAGACUCGCCUCAAAACAAUUGGCAGCCGGCGUAUUGAUUUCGGAGCGCAGUACAUCUCGCGCUUUGCACUCAUAACGACGACGUCCAAAAGUACAUUUUUACACUCUUGACCUCGGAUCAGGUAGGGAUACCCGCUGAACUUAAGCAUAUCAAUAAGCGGAGGA
RNAcentral lists this unclassified non-coding RNA (337 nucleotides) under soil metagenome. RNAcentral's name for it is "partial contains 5.8S ribosomal RNA, internal transcribed spacer 2, and large subunit ribosomal RNA". The stretch from base 1 to 120 matches the Rfam family "5.8S ribosomal RNA", at positions 35 to 154 of the family's 154-position model. The record is from RNAcentral.